Molecule: ribosomal RNA, 437 nt
Filed under: uncultured bacterium
Lineage: Bacteria
Description: partial 16S ribosomal RNA
Rfam family: Bacterial small subunit ribosomal RNA
Source: RNAcentral
AGCGAACGCUGACGGCAUGUUUAACACAUGCAAGUCGCGCGGGUGGUUUCGGCCAUCAGCGGCGGACGGGUGAGUAUCGCGUAGGAAUGUAUCCCGAGGUGGGGGACAACCCUGGGAAACUGGGGCUAAUACCGCAUGGGGCCUGUGGGUCAAAGCCUUAGGGCGCCUUGGGAGCAGCCUGCGUCCGAUUAGGUAGUUGGUGGGGUAAAGGCCUACCAAGCCUGCGAUCGGUAGCUGGUCUGAGAGGACGAUCAGCCACACUGGGACUGAGACACGGCCCAGACUCCUACGGGAGGCAGCAGUGGGGAAUAUUGGACAAUGGGCGCAAGCCUGAUCCAGCAAUGCCGCGUGGGUGAAGAAGGUCUUCGGAUUGUAAAGCCCUUUCGGCGGGGACGAUGAUGACGGUACCCGCAGAAGAAGCCCCGGCUAACUUCGUG